Molecule: small RNA, 89 nt
Filed under: Prochlorococcus marinus subsp. pastoris str. CCMP1986
Lineage: Bacteria; Bacillati; Cyanobacteriota; Cyanophyceae; Synechococcales; Prochlorococcaceae
Description: Cyanobacterial functional RNA 20
Rfam family: Cyanobacterial functional RNA 20
Source: Rfam by way of RNAcentral
AAGCAUUUAGGAAGUGCUUAGCUGGUUAAGCUCAGUCAAUCUGAAUUUAACUUUAUCGUCAUGAGAGUUUGCUAGUAGGGAUGCGAGCA